This 268-nucleotide ribosomal RNA is filed under the name Salmonella enterica. RNAcentral describes it as "partial 23S ribosomal RNA". It matches the Rfam family "Bacterial large subunit ribosomal RNA", at positions 504 to 672 of the family's 2925-position model. RNAcentral also lists the same sequence under 40 other names. The record is from RNAcentral. Lineage: Bacteria; Pseudomonadati; Pseudomonadota; Gammaproteobacteria; Enterobacterales; Enterobacteriaceae.
UGAGGGAAAGGCGAAAAGAACCCCGGCGAGGGGAGUGAAAAAGAACCUGAAACCGUGUACGUACAAGCAGUGGGAGCCCCACCACCAAAGCAUUCUCUGGUGUUGAAGGCCCUGCAAAGCAGCAUCGCGGUGGCGGAGCGUCGUUUGCGACGCCCAACACACAAAACAAGCGGUGAAUGCUUUGGGGUGGGGUGACUGCGUACCUUUUGUAUAAUGGGUCAGCGACUUAUAUUCUGUAGCAAGGUUAACCGAAUAGGGGAGCCGGAGG